Molecule: ribosomal RNA, 396 nt
Filed under: uncultured bacterium
Lineage: Bacteria
Description: bacterial SSU rRNA
Rfam family: Bacterial small subunit ribosomal RNA
Source: RNAcentral
GACGAACGCUGGCGGCGUGCUUAACACAUGCAAGUCGAGCGAGAAACCCUCUUCGGAGGGGAGUACAGCGGCGAACGGGUGAGUAACACGUGGGCAACCUGCCCCAAGGAGCGGGACAACCCGGGGAAACCCGGGCUAAUACCGCAUGUUCCGCAGCGCCUGAAGGUGCUUCGGGAAAUGGUAGCUUCGGCCUCCGCCUUGGGAUGGGCCCGCGGCGCAUUAGCUUGUUGGUGAGGUAAUGGCUCACCAAGGCGACGAUGCGUAGCUGGUCUGAGAGGACGAUCAGCCACACUGGGACUGAGACACGGCCCAGACUCCUACGGGAGGCAGCAGUGGGGAAUCUUGCGCAAUGGGCGGAAGCCUGACGCAGCAACGCCGCGUGAGGGAAGACGGCCU